Molecule: microRNA precursor, 110 nt
Filed under: Paramuricea clavata
Lineage: Eukaryota; Metazoa; Cnidaria; Anthozoa; Malacalcyonacea; Plexauridae
Source: RNAcentral
UAUAUACAAAAGUGUCGUGAUAUGUUGGCUCGCGUCAUUUGAAAUUUAAAUGUGCCGUUUAAUUAAAUUUCAAAUGACGCGAGCCAACAUAUCACGACACUUUUGUAUAU